CAUGCAAGAAAUAAUGGAUGCUGUUAACAAUAGUGGAAAAUUUGACACGAAGUUUGGAGGCUUUACUGGUACUGACGGUCCAUUGGGGAAGAGAAUGGAGAAUUCAAAAACUCGGGCUGAGAUCGGUUGGGAACCAAAGUAUCCAAGCUUCACCAAAAUCCUUGAUAUUAGCAGUUAACAUCCUUGCAUACUGUUCAGUUAGUCUGACUCAGCUGAGUUGCAACCGUGAUUAGAUUGUACAUCGUUUGAAUUUUUAUAUGGUCUGAAUUGGUGAUGGUGUACAUCUCAGCCUAAUUUUUUA
Zea mays is the source of this 301-nucleotide long non-coding RNA. RefSeq lists it as uncharacterized. The record is from RefSeq and is a predicted model, not a curated record. Lineage: Eukaryota; Viridiplantae; Streptophyta; Magnoliopsida; Poales; Poaceae. The transcript has 2 exons.